This 296-nucleotide ribosomal RNA is filed under the name uncultured bacterium. RNAcentral describes it as "partial 16S ribosomal RNA". It matches the Rfam family "Bacterial small subunit ribosomal RNA", at positions 334 to 622 of the family's 1533-position model. The record is from RNAcentral.
GGCGCCUACGGGGCGCAGCAGUAGGGAAUCUUCCACAAUGGACGAAAGUCUGAUGGAGCAACGCCGCGUGAGUGAAGAAGGGUUUCGGCUCGUAAAGCUCUGUUGGUAGUGAAGAAAGAUAGAGGUAGUAACUGGCCUUUAUUUGACGGUAAUUACUUAGAAAGUCACGGCUAACUACGUGCCAGCAGCCGCGGUAAUACGUAGGUGGCAAGCGUUGUCCGGAUUUAUUGGGCGUAAAGCGAGUGCAGGCGGUUUCAUAAGUCUGAUGUGAAAACCUUCUGCUCAACCCGAGGAGU